GCUGCUAUGGUCUAGUGGUAUGAUUUUCGCCUCACAAGCCGUGAACGCGAACGGUCGCGAGUUCGAACCUCGCUGGCAGUA
Molecule: transfer RNA, 81 nt
Filed under: Saccharata proteae CBS 121410
Lineage: Eukaryota; Fungi; Ascomycota; Dothideomycetes; Botryosphaeriales; Saccharataceae
Rfam family: tRNA
About the family: Transfer RNA (tRNA) molecules are approximately 80 nucleotides in length. Their secondary structure includes four short double-helical elements and three loops (D, anti-codon, and T loops).
Source: Rfam by way of RNAcentral